RNAcentral lists this ribosomal RNA (253 nucleotides) under uncultured bacterium. Its description in RNAcentral is "partial 16S ribosomal RNA". It matches the Rfam family "Bacterial small subunit ribosomal RNA", at positions 524 to 776 of the family's 1533-position model. The record is from RNAcentral.
UACGGAGGGGGCAAGCGUUAUCCGGAUUUACUGGGUGUAAAGGGAGCGUAGACGGUGAUGCAAGUCAGAAGUGAAAGCCCGGGGCUCAACUCCGGGACUGCUUUUGAAACUGUGUAACUGGAGUGCAGGAGAGGUAAGCGGAAUUCCUGGUGUAGCGGUGAAAUGCGUAGAUAUCAGGAGGAACACCAGUGGCGAAGGCGGCUUACUGGACUGUAACUGACGUUGAGGCUCGAAAGCGUGGGGAGCAAACAGG